ACUGUGCUGAGAGGGAUCCUGCAGAUCUUGCGCCUGAUUGGCUGUGGAGAAGGUCACUCGGCGAUGUGGGAGCUGUUUACUGCUAUAUUUU
This is a long non-coding RNA of Sinocyclocheilus anshuiensis, 91 nucleotides long. RefSeq lists it as uncharacterized. The record is from RefSeq and is a predicted model, not a curated record. The transcript has 3 exons. NCBI's taxonomy places the organism in Eukaryota, Metazoa, Chordata, Actinopteri, Cypriniformes, Cyprinidae.